ACACGACUACAUUAGACUACCCCCGUAGUCCCAGCCCUAAACGAUGCGCGUUAGGUGUAUCGGUGACCACGAGUCACCGAGGUGCCGAAGGGAAACCGUGAAACGUGCCGCCUGGGAAGUACGGUCGCAAGGCUAGAAACUUAAAGGAAUUGGCGGGGGAGCACCACAACGGGUGGAGCCUGCGGUUUAAUUGGACUCAACGCCGGGAAGCUCACCGGAUAAGACAGCGGAAUGGUUGCCGGGCUGAAGACCCUGCAUGACCAGCUG
RNAcentral lists this ribosomal RNA (267 nucleotides) under uncultured archaeon. Its description in RNAcentral is "partial 16S ribosomal RNA". It matches the Rfam family "Archaeal small subunit ribosomal RNA", at positions 717 to 982 of the family's 1478-position model. The record is from RNAcentral.